GACGAACGCUGGCGGCGCGCCUAACACAUGCAAGUCGAACGGAGUCAAGAGGAGCUUGCUUUUCUUGACUUAGUGGCGAACGGGUGAGUAACGCGUGAGUAACCUGCCCUGGAGUGGGGGACAACAGUUGGAAACGACUGCCAAUACCGCAUAAGCCCACGGAUCUGCAUGGAUCUGCGGGAAAAGGAUUUAUUCGCUCUAGGAUGGACUCGCGUCCAAUUAGCUAGUUGGUGAGGUAACGGCCCACCAAGGCGACGAUUGGUAGCCGAACUGAGAGGUUGAACGGCCACAUUGGGACUGAGACACGGCCCAGACUCCUACGGGAGGCAGCAGUGGGGGAUAUUGCACAAUGGGGGAAACCCUGAUGCAGCGACGCCGCGUGGAGGAAGAAGGUUUUCGGAUUGUAAACUCCUGUCGUUAGGGACGAUAAUGACGGUACCUAACAAGAAAGCACCAGCUAACUACGUG
This 468-nucleotide ribosomal RNA is filed under the name uncultured bacterium. Its description in RNAcentral is "partial 16S ribosomal RNA". It matches the Rfam family "Bacterial small subunit ribosomal RNA", at positions 28 to 507 of the family's 1533-position model. The record is from RNAcentral.